This 253-nucleotide ribosomal RNA is filed under the name uncultured bacterium. RNAcentral describes it as "partial 16S ribosomal RNA". It matches the Rfam family "Bacterial small subunit ribosomal RNA", at positions 524 to 776 of the family's 1533-position model. The record is from RNAcentral.
UACGUAGGGGGCAAGCGUUGCCCGGAUUUAUUGGGCGUAAAGGGCGCGUAGGCGGCUACGCACGUCCGUUGUGAAAUCGCUCGGCUCAACUGGGCGGGGUCAGCGGAUACGGUGUAGCUGGAGCAAGCUAGGGGGCAAUGGAAUUCCCGGUGUAGUGGUGGAAUGCGUAGAUAUCAGGAGGAACACCGAUGGCGAAGGCAGGUCUCUGGGCUGACACUGACGCUCAUGCACGAAAGCGUGGGGAGCAAACAGG